RNAcentral lists this ribosomal RNA (4920 nucleotides) under Pseudomonas aeruginosa. Its description in RNAcentral is "bacterial LSU rRNA". The stretch from base 3098 to 4920 matches the Rfam family "Bacterial large subunit ribosomal RNA". The record is from RNAcentral. Lineage: Bacteria; Pseudomonadati; Pseudomonadota; Gammaproteobacteria; Pseudomonadales; Pseudomonadaceae.
GUAGGUGAUGCCCAGGUCGUGGCUCAGCCAGAGGCGCAUGUCGCCGCCGAAGAAGGUGGUCUCCAGGUGCGGGCUCAGCCACAGGGCGAAGGCGCCGACGGCAAGCACCACCGGGAUCAGCAGCGCGGCUUCCCAGCCGGCCGGCAGGCUCAGACGGAUACGCUCGGGCAGGCGGCUCCAGAGCAGGCCGGCAAGAAGGAUGCCCAGCGGCGUCAGCAACAGCAGGCUGAACACACCCGGCAGGUGGCCUUCGACGUAGGGCGCCAGGAACAGGCCGGCGAAGAAGCCGAGGAUCACCGUCGGCAGCGCCUCCAUCAGCUCGAUCACCGGCUUGACCUUGCGGCGCAUCGCCGGAGCCAUGAAAUAGGCGGUGUAGACGGCGGCCGCGAUGGCCAGCGGAGCUGCCAGGAUCAUCGCGUAGAAGGCGGCCUUGAGCGUGCCGAAGGUCAGCGGCGAGAGGCUCAGCUUCGGUUCGAAGUCGGUGGUCGCGGCGGUGGACUGCCAGACGUAGGCCGGCUUGUCGUAGCUCUCGUACCAGACCUUGCCCCAGAGGGCGCUCCAGGAGAUUUCCGGGUGCGGGUUGCUCAGGGCGAAGCGGUGGAUCUUGCCACCCUGCUCCAGCAGCAGGCGGUUGGCCCGCGGCGACAGGGUGAUGACCCCGGAAGAGUCGGCGACCGGCUGGACCAGCAGGGUACGGUGCGCGGUGCUGUGGAAGACGCCGAGGUUGCCCUUCUCGUCCAGGGCGAUGAAGCCCUUGCGCCGUUGUUCCGGAGCGAUGGCGCUGAUCGGCGCGCCAUCCAGAUUGAAGUCGCGAACGUGCGACAGGCGCGGUUCGCCGUCGGUAUCGCGAGCCAUGAACCACUGGGCGAUGCCACCCUUGGAGUCGCCCACCAGCAGCGAGAUGCCGCCCAGCAGCUGGGUGCUCGCGGUGACCUCGGCGUUGGGGUCUUCCAGCAGCUUGUAGCGACCGUUCAACUGGCGGCUGUGCAGGUCGAACACAUCGGCGGUGGCACGUCCGUUGAUCACGUACAGCCACUGCUUGCGCGGGUCGAGGUAGAUGGCUUUCACCGGUUCGGCGAUCUGCGGGAGUUCGAUGCGCUCCUCGUCCAGCGUGCUUUCGCCGGUCAGCAUGUUCUCUUCCCGAGUCAUGCUCAACAGCAGCAGUUGCUUGGCGACGGAGCCAGCCAGCAGCAGGCUGUCGUCGCCGGCAUUGAUGCUCACAUGCUCCAGCGGGCGGCCCUGCGGAUCGAGACCGAUCGGGGUCUCGCCGUAGGGGAAGGCGAUCUCCGGGGUGAUGGUCUUCUUGUUGUCCGGGUAGGUGACCUUGUAGGUGUGCUGGAACACCAGCACCUGUCCGUUGGACAGGCCCAGGGCGACCGUCGGGCUGCCCGGCUGGUCCUGGGCGAUCGAGCGGAUCUCGCUGCCCGCCGGAAGCGGCAGAGCGACACGCUUCAGUUCGACACCGGUCUUGGCGUUGAAAAAGUGAAUCUCGCCCUGGCCGCCGACGCGCAUGGCCACCUGGUUCUGCUCCUCGAUGCUGAGCAGCAGGGGCACCUGCGCCUGCUGCAUCCAGGCCGGAGUCAGCGCUUCGCGGGUCUCCAGGUCGGCGCCGCGGAACAGGGGGAGCACGACGUAGGCCAGGUAGAAGAAGAUCAGGGUGAUCGCCGCCAGCACGGCCAGGCCGCCGACCAGCACGUACCAGCGGGUCAGGCGGUCCUUGAGGGCACGGAUGCGGCGCUUGCGUUGCAGGGCUGGCGUAUUGAAGUCAAUCCGCUCGGGAGCAAGGGAGGAGUUCAUCGGGGAGUUGGCCAUGUCGUUCAUGGGGUGACACCCUAAAGGCUCUGUAUGACAGACAGAUGACAGCAACAUGACGCAACAAAGCCCGCCAGCAGAGCCUCGCUGGCGGGAAAGGCCGGCGGAUCCUAGCGCCCGCCGGCAGAGCCUUCAUGCCUGGACGGCCCAUCGCUGGGCCAUCCGCUCAAGUCACUGGAUUACAGGCCCAGUUCCUUGAUCGCCUUCUCGGCCACCUUGGCCGGCAGCGGGAUGUAGCCGUCCUUGACCACGACCUGCUGGCCGGUCUUGGACAGAACCAGCUUGAGGAACUGAGCCUCCAGCGGGUCCAGCGGCUUGUUCGGCGCCUUGUUCACGUAGACGUAGAGGAAGCGCGACAGCGGAUAGGUGCCGUUCAGGGCGUUCUGCUCGUUGUCCUCGACGAAGGCAGCGCCUUCCUUCUUGGCCAGGGCCACGGUCUUCACGCUGGCGGUCUUGUAGCCGAUACCGGAGUAGCCGAUGCCGUUCAGCGACUGGCUGACCGACUGCACCACGGAAGCCGAACCCGGCUGCUCGUUGACGUUCGGACGGAAGUCGCCUUUGCACAGGGCUUCUUCCUUGAAGUAGCCGUAGGUGCCGGAAACCGAGUUGCGGCCGAACAGUUGCACCGGCUUCUUCGCCCAGUCACCGGUCAGGCCCAGGUCGCCCCAGGUCUUCACGUCCUGCUUGCUGCCACACAGGCGGGUAGCGGAGAAGAUCGCAUCGACCUGCUGCAUGGUCAGGCCUUUGAUCGGGUUGUCCUUGUGCACGAAGAUCGCCAGGGCGUCGACAGCGACCGGGACGGCGGUCGGCUUAUAGCCGUACUUCUGCUCGAAAGCCUGCAGCUCGACGUCCUUCAUCUUGCGGCUCAUCGGGCCCAGGUUGGCGGUGCCUUCGGUCAGGGCCGGCGGCGCGGUGGAAGAACCGGCAGCCUGGAUCUGGAUGUUCACGUUCGGAUAGAGGCGCUUGUACUCCUCGGCCCACAUGGUCAUCAGGUUGGCCAGAGUGUCGGAGCCGACGCUCGACAGGUUGCCCGACACACCGCUGGCUUUCUGAUAUUCCGGCAGCGCCGGGUCGAUCGCGGCUACCGCGGAAGCGGCGCCUACGCCUGCGGCGACGAACGUCAGGGCCGCCAUCAAACGCUUGAGUUUCAUGCCUUGCUCCUUGGACAGGAUGGGGUUGGAUGGAACGGGGGCCAGUAUCGUCAGGCCGCAUGAAGACUCUAUGAAAGGAAUGUGACAGUUGGAUGAAAUGCCAUCAGCCUUCCGACAUUUUUCCGCAAGCCUUGGGAGAAGCCCUGCCACACCCCUAAAAGCCUGGAAACACAAGGGCUCCAGCCUUUCACGGAGGGGCCGGGGAGGCCCUCUGGAGCGCGUUUUCGAUCCGCCUGGGGGAGGUAGCCGUCCAUCCGUUUCAUGCAGGAUGGGUAGUUUCCAGGGCAAUUGUGACAGUCGCCGCCGGCAUUCGCAGUCGAGAAAAGAAGCGAGGAAGCACGCCCCCACGCCGAAAGACCAAGGGUUCCUGCGCAACGUUAAUCGACGCAGGGUUAGUCGGUUCCUAAGGCGAGGCUGAAAAGCGUAGUCGAUGGGAAACAGGUUAAUAUUCCUGUACUUCUGGUUACUGCGAUGGAGGGACGGAGAAGGCUAGGCCAGCUUGGCGUUGGUUGUCCAAGUUUAAGGUGGUAGGCUGAAAUCUUAGGUAAAUCCGGGGUUUCAAGGCCGAGAGCUGAUGACGAGUCGUCUUUUAGAUGACGAAGUGGUUGAUGCCAUGCUUCCAAGAAAAGCUUCUAAGCUUCAGGUAACCAGGAACCGUACCCCAAACCGACACAGGUGGUCGGGUAGAGAAUACCAAGGCGCUUGAGAGAACUCGGGUGAAGGAACUAGGCAAAAUGGCACCGUAACUUCGGGAGAAGGUGCGCCGGCUAGGGUGAAGGAUUUACUCCGUAAGCUCUGGCUGGUCGAAGAUACCAGGCCGCUGCGACUGUUUAUUAAAAACACAGCACUCUGCAAACACGAAAGUGGACGUAUAGGGUGUGACGCCUGCCCGGUGCCGGAAGGUUAAUUGAUGGGGUUAGCGCAAGCGAAGCUCUUGAUCGAAGCCCCGGUAAACGGCGGCCGUAACUAUAACGGUCCUAAGGUAGCGAAAUUCCUUGUCGGGUAAGUUCCGACCUGCACGAAUGGCGUAACGAUGGCGGCGCUGUCUCCACCCGAGACUCAGUGAAAUUGAAAUCGCUGUGAAGAUGCAGUGUAUCCGCGGCUAGACGGAAAGACCCCGUGAACCUUUACUGUAGCUUUGCACUGGACUUUGAGCCUGCUUGUGUAGGAUAGGUGGGAGGCUUUGAAGCGUGGACGCCAGUUCGCGUGGAGCCAUCCUUGAAAUACCACCCUGGCAUGCUUGAGGUUCUAACUCUGGUCCGUGAUCCGGAUCGAGGACAGUGUAUGGUGGGCAGUUUGACUGGGGCGGUCUCCUCCUAAAGAGUAACGGAGGAGUACGAAGGUGCGCUCAGACCGGUCGGAAAUCGGUCGCAGAGUAUAAAGGCAAAAGCGCGCUUGACUGCGAGACAGACACGUCGAGCAGGUACGAAAGUAGGUCUUAGUGAUCCGGUGGUUCUGUAUGGAAGGGCCAUCGCUCAACGGAUAAAAGGUACUCCGGGGAUAACAGGCUGAUACCGCCCAAGAGUUCAUAUCGACGGCGGUGUUUGGCACCUCGAUGUCGGCUCAUCACAUCCUGGGGCUGAAGCCGGUCCCAAGGGUAUGGCUGUUCGCCAUUUAAAGUGGUACGCGAGCUGGGUUUAGAACGUCGUGAGACAGUUCGGUCCCUAUCUGCCGUGGACGUUUGAGAUUUGAGAGGGGCUGCUCCUAGUACGAGAGGACCGGAGUGGACGAACCUCUGGUGUUCCGGUUGUCACGCCAGUGGCAUUGCCGGGUAGCUAUGUUCGGAAAAGAUAACCGCUGAAAGCAUCUAAGCGGGAAACUUGCCUCAAGAUGAGAUCUCACUGGGAACUUGAUUCCCCUGAAGGGCCGUCGAAGACUACGACGUUGAUAGGCUGGGUGUGUAAGCGUUGUGAGGCGUUGAGCUAACCAGUACUAAUUGCCCGUGAGGCUUGACCAU